CAUGCAAGUCGAACGAAGUAGCAAUACUUAGUGGCAGACGGGUGAGUAACAUGUGGGUAUCUACCCUUUGGCCUGGAAUAACACGAGGAAACUUGUGCUAAUACCGGAUAAGUCUUUACGGAGAAAGCUUUAUGCACCAUUGGAUGGGCCCGCACUUGAUUAGUUUGUUGGUAGGGUAAUGGCCUACCAAGACUAUGAUCAAUAGCUGAUUUGAGAGGAUGAUCAGCCACAUUGGGACUGAGACACGGCCCAAACUCCUACGGGAGGCAGCAGUGGGGAAUCUUGCACAAUGGAGGAAACUCUGAUGCAGCGAUGCCGCGUGAGUGAAGAAGGCCUUUGGGUUGUAAAGCUCUUUCGUCGGGGAAGAAAAUGACUGUACCCGAAUAAGAAGGUCCGGCUAACUUCGUGCCAGCAGCCGCGGUAAUACGAAGGGACCUAGCGUAGUUCGGAAUUACUGGGCUUAAAGAGUUCGUAGGUGGUUGAAAAAGUUGGUGGUGAAAUCCCAGAGCUUAACUCUGGAACUGCCAUCAAAACUUUUCAGCUAGAGUAUGAUAGAGGAAAGCAGAAUUUCUAGUGUAGAGGUGAAAUUCGUAGAUAUUAGAAAGAAUACCAAUUGCGAAGGCAGCUUUCUGGAUCAUUACUGACACUGAGGAACGAAAGCAUGGGUAGCGAAGAGGAUUAGAUACCCUCGUAGUCCAUGCCGUAAACGAUGUGUGUUAGACGUUGGAAAUUUAUUUUCAGUGUCGCAGGGAAACCGAUAAACACACCGCCUGGGGAGUACGACCGCAAGGUUAAAACUCAAAUGAAUUGACGGGGACCCGCACAAGUAGUGGAGCAUGUGGUUUAAUUCGAAGAUACGCGCAGAA
Molecule: ribosomal RNA, 866 nt
Filed under: uncultured Alphaproteobacteria bacterium
Lineage: Bacteria; Pseudomonadati; Pseudomonadota; Alphaproteobacteria
Description: bacterial SSU rRNA
Rfam family: Bacterial small subunit ribosomal RNA
Source: RNAcentral